UCGCCUCCCGAACCGUCUCUGUCCAACGCGAAGGUAACGGCGUCCGCGCCACCGUGGGCGCCCUCUGCUGGCCGUGGCCGGAGAAGCAUGCAGCUCAGACGUGGACGGAAAGGACUGAUGUGUGCGUUACCGCCAGGUGUAAAACUCAUAGAAAGACGAAAAGGAAUGCAAUGGGCAUCCUCCCCCGGUCACUGAGACUCACACGAGCAGCGCCUCCACUAGGACUAGCUCAGCCUUGCUCAGCGCUGUUCUACCAGAAGGCAGCAGCCACAGGUCAGUCCUCACGCGAGGACGCCAGCCCAGGGCCGCACCGCCGCUCGGGCUCAGGAGCCCCCGGCCCCGGAUGCUGCCGCCGCCUCCAUCGUUGUUUCCAUUCCAGGCAGAGCAAACAUGUGUAAAUACUUCAUUAAAAUUAAAAAAAAA
This is a non-coding RNA of Vicugna pacos (alpaca), 423 nucleotides long. NCBI's taxonomy places the organism in Eukaryota, Metazoa, Chordata, Mammalia, Artiodactyla, Camelidae. The record is from RefSeq and is a predicted model, not a curated record.